Ipomoea nil (Japanese morning glory) is the source of this 243-nucleotide long non-coding RNA. RefSeq lists it as uncharacterized. Lineage: Eukaryota; Viridiplantae; Streptophyta; Magnoliopsida; Solanales; Convolvulaceae. The record is from RefSeq and is a predicted model, not a curated record. The transcript is spliced from 4 exons.
CAUGGGUAACUCAACUGGUCACAGAGAUGAAAUUUGUCACAAGAGAUCAAGGAUCGAGUCUCACCAGCGGCAGUGUGAGAGCAACCUCUCAAAAUGAGAGGGGUUCCUUGUGCACAGUGAGCAAAAUCUAGUCUCUGUUGAUCAGUUGAGUCACCAUGAUUUACCCCUCGACAAUUCUGUCGGGCCGAGGUGGGGUGGGCGAUUCCACCUUUUUGUCACAAGAAUAUAGGGAGGUCACAAAUG